RNAcentral lists this unclassified non-coding RNA (1171 nucleotides) under Leishmania donovani. RNAcentral describes it as "gene:LdHU3.31.1460(CDS-product:KIAA1430_homologue _putative)". Lineage: Eukaryota; Euglenozoa; Kinetoplastea; Trypanosomatida; Trypanosomatidae. The record is from RNAcentral.
CCCUCCAUCUCGUCAGCGCGCAGCCUAGGGAGCACGUCGAGCUGUAUUUUCUUCUGUCGUUGCUGCUUCUGCCCGCUGUCCUGCAGAGGGUCACUCCGCUUCUUCGGCCUUCUUGCUCGUGGCGUUUCCGUCUUCGCUGGACGUGCAGAGCUCGCCCAGGCGCUCGCUCCGUUCUGCUUUCCGCCGUCAUUUUUCCUUCCCCGUGCCCCCCCCCCUCUUCCUUCCCUCCGACACGCACACACACACCUCACGACUCUCCUGUCCUCCACGUGCUCCGUGCAUUCUUCGAAAUGGAGCCAAAGAGAAGUGGCAACAUGGCGUGUGUGGAGCGAGAGCGAGAGCGCAACUAUCGGAGACAUCUCGAACGGCUGAGCAAUCAGCGGUGCCGCAUUGAUAAUACGAUACCGGAUAGCUACGCCUAUGUGAGGCCGAUCGGCUCCAUGCGCGGAAACCCCGCGCGUGUGGAGCAGGUGAACCGUGAUAACCAGAAGCUGGUGGAGAAGAUGGUGCACAUCAUGAACACCCGCGGGGGCGUGGACACCUCGGAGCCGUGGCGUGACUGCAACAAGGCGAUCAACUCGCAGCGGCGUCGCAACCAGGAGCAGGCCAAGAUUGCGCUGGAGAACGCGAAGUUGCUAGAGCGCUUGGAGCGAGCGCAGCCGACGUACCGCUCAGAGAAGUUUGAGGCGGACCGUCGCCGGAACGAAGAGUUCGCUGCCCGCGCUAGCCGCUACCCCUACCAGCCUAUGGACAGGACGAGCUAUUAAAGGAAGCGUCGUUUUUCAACUUGCCAUUGCUGCUCUCGGCGACUGUUACGGGGAGAUGCUAUACCUGUCCCUCAUGCAGGUUGCUCAGCGCAGAAACGAGCAUAUUGCUCCCACCAACUCUGCAUCUUCUCUCCCUUGACUGUCGCUUCUCUAAACGUCAUGUAUGCGAAUUCUCGUUUUCUUUUGGGUGCUUGCAAUCCCCAUUGCCUGACUGUCUUCCGUUUGUGCGCCUCGCAUGCACCGGUGUGGAGCCGUUGGUAGUGCUGCUGCCCUUGUUGGGGCGUGAUGCCGGCGUUUUGAUGUUUCUUGCUUCUUCGAGUCGUCAAACCGAUUCUCUUUUUUUUUCGUAGACGGCAAUCGCAAAAUCAGAGCGCGCCCAAGCAUCGACUCAGAUGCUGCCAUGU